This is a long non-coding RNA of Passer domesticus (house sparrow), 547 nucleotides long. RefSeq lists it as uncharacterized. The transcript has 4 exons. The record is from RefSeq and is a predicted model, not a curated record. Lineage: Eukaryota; Metazoa; Chordata; Aves; Passeriformes; Passeridae.
CAUACAGCCCCCCGGAAUGGACCCGCUUUGGCUGGUACCAUGGCGAGCCAGCUACCAUCUGGUCCCUGGGCAUCCUGCUGCACCAGAUGGUCUGUGGGAAGAUGCCUUUCAGGAGGGGCUGGAACUUCAGCUGGGGCCAGCUCUCGCUGCCACAACGGCUCUCUCCAGAGUGCCAAAAUCUGAUUGGGUGGUGUUUAUCCAUGCACUCCUUGGCCAGACCCUCAUUAGAAGAGCUGUUCUGUCAUCCUUGGAUGCAGGAUAUUCGUCUGCCCUAGAAGAAGGGAGAGAGCCACAGGCACACUUUGAUCCAGGGCCCUGGGAAGGAGAAGGAGCCCCCAGAGAAGCUGUACCGGGUGGGGCUGCUGCUGCAGGAGACAGUGAGGAUGACAUCAAGGAUGACAACCUCUUCCUCAACCUGGCCACCAGCAGUUGAAGAGGAAGCAUUCUAGGUGGUCCAGUCUGGAUUGGGAAGUGCUUGGGACCAGCUGCAGCGUGGAUGGGCCGUGCCCUUGGAGCAGGCUGAGGACAUCGUUUGGGACCAGCUUUU